GCCGGCGUAGCUCAGCGGUAGAGCUGCUGAAUCGUAAUCAGCGGGUCGGGGGUUCAAAUCCCUCCGCCGGCUCCA
This 75-nucleotide transfer RNA is filed under the name bacterium. Its description in RNAcentral is "tRNA-Thr". It matches the Rfam family "tRNA". From Rfam's summary of the family: Transfer RNA (tRNA) molecules are approximately 80 nucleotides in length. Their secondary structure includes four short double-helical elements and three loops (D, anti-codon, and T loops). The record is from RNAcentral. RNAcentral also lists the same sequence under 2 other names.